AUGCGUAGGCUUUUUGGUGUGUCCUCUGUUAAAUCCUUCAAGCUCAACUGAAGAUAUGCAUAGGAAACUACCAAAAUAGAGACAGAGAGAGGGAAGUGGAAUUCCCGGUGGAGCGGUGAAAUGCGUUGAUAUCGGGAGGAACACCAGUGGCGAAGGCGACUUCCUGGCUCUGUUCUGACGCUAAGGCUCGAAAGCGUGGGUAGCAAAAC
RNAcentral lists this ribosomal RNA (209 nucleotides) under uncultured bacterium. RNAcentral describes it as "partial 16S ribosomal RNA". It matches the Rfam family "Bacterial small subunit ribosomal RNA", at positions 567 to 774 of the family's 1533-position model. The record is from RNAcentral.